Molecule: ribosomal RNA, 674 nt
Filed under: uncultured Curvibacter sp.
Lineage: Bacteria; Pseudomonadati; Pseudomonadota; Betaproteobacteria; Burkholderiales; Comamonadaceae
Description: bacterial SSU rRNA
Rfam family: Bacterial small subunit ribosomal RNA
Source: RNAcentral
AGUGGCGAACGGGUGAGUAAAGUAUCGGAACGUGCCCAGUCGUGGGGGAUAACGUAGCGAAAGUUACGCUAAUACCGCAUACGAUCUAUGGAUGAAAGCGGGGGAUCGCAAGACCUCGCGCGAUUGGAGCGGCCGAUAUCAGAUUAGGUAGUUGGUGGGGUAAAGGCUCACCAAGCCGACGAUCUGUAGCUGGUCUGAGAGGACGACCAGCCACACUGGGACUGAGACACGGCCCAGACUCCUACGGGAGGCAGCAGUGGGGAAUUUUGGACAAUGGGCGCAAGCCUGAUCCAGCCAUGCCGCGUGCAGGAUGAAGGCCUUCGGGUUGUAAACUGCUUUUGUACGGAACGAAAAGGUUUGGCCUAAUAAGCUGAGCUCAUGACGGUACCGUAAGAAUAAGCACCGGCUAACUACGUGCCAGCAGCCGCGGUAAUACGUAGGGUGCGAGCGUUAAUCGGAAUUACUGGGCGUAAAGCGUGCGCAGGCGGUUAUGUAAGACAGAUGUGAAAUCCCCGGGCUCAACCUGGGAACUGCAUUAGUGACUGCAUAGCUGGAGUACGGCAGAGGGGGAUGGAAUUCCGCGUGUAGCAGUGAAAUGCGUAGAUAUGCGGAGGAACACCGAUGGCGAAGGCAAUCCCCUGGGCCUGUACUGACGCUCAUGCACGAAAGCGUGG